This 396-nucleotide ribosomal RNA is filed under the name uncultured bacterium. Its description in RNAcentral is "partial 16S ribosomal RNA". It matches the Rfam family "Bacterial small subunit ribosomal RNA", at positions 523 to 918 of the family's 1533-position model. The record is from RNAcentral.
AUACGUAGGUGGCAAGCGUUGUCCGGAUUUACUGGGUGUAAAGGGCGUGUAGGCGGAGAUGCAAGUCAGGAGUGAAAUCUAGGGGCUCAACCCCUAAACUGCUUUUGAAACUGUAUCCCUUGAGUAUCGGAGAGGCAGGCGGAAUUCCUAGUGUAGCGGUGAAAUGCGUAGAUAUUAGGAGGAACACCAGUGGCGAAGGCGGCCUACUGUACGAAAACUGACGCUGAGGCGCGAAAGCGUGGGGAGAAAACAGGAUUAGAUACCCUGGUAGUCCUCACUGUAAACGAUGAAUACUAGGUGUGGGGGGACUGACCCCCUCCGUGCCGCAGUUAACACAAUAAGUAUUCCACCUGGGGAGUACGAUCGCAAGAUUGAAACUCAAAGGAAUUGACGGUU